CUGUUCCACUUUUGGCCAGUCUCAGAUGCUUGUCUUCCAGAAUGUCUGCGUGUGGAUGAAUCACAACAGGAUCCUGGGAACUUUUAAGAAAGGAAAGAUUGCUUCACGUGUAAUGAAAAGCUAGUGUCCAGAAGAUCACUGCGGCCAGAUGCCAAUUUUGAUGCCCUCGUCAGUAAGACUUGUCCAAGCCCUGAUGUAUGUGAAACUCAUCAGGAGGGAAUGCUGGCAAGAAUCAGCUAACACAAUAGCAGCAAGCUUUCAGUGACAGCGUUAAGGAAGGGUGACGAUUCAGGCUGGGAGCAGGUGUAUGGGAACUGCAUAAUCACAGCCUGACCCUCUGUUUGACUACCUGAGGCGAGUGCUGAGUCAGCUGCAGGGGCACAGGUGAUGGCAGUUUGACCUGAGUGACCGUAAGGGGUGGACCCUGGCUGCAGCCCUGCUAGACCCCAUGUAAGGGCUGACUCCCAAGGAGGAAGGAUCUCUAUCUGGAGGUCACCCUUAGUGGAGCCCUUCUGCGCGCCCAGGGUACGGGUAAGCUUUUUAUGUCAUUCCUCCUUUGGAAACGCG
This 567-nucleotide long non-coding RNA is filed under the name Gallus gallus (chicken). RNAcentral's name for it is "lncRNA (ENSGALG00010029081.1)". Lineage: Eukaryota; Metazoa; Chordata; Aves; Galliformes; Phasianidae. The record is from RNAcentral.